Molecule: long non-coding RNA, 2105 nt
Organism: Neopsephotus bourkii (Bourke's parrot)
Lineage: Eukaryota; Metazoa; Chordata; Aves; Psittaciformes; Psittacidae
Exons: 7
Source: RefSeq, a predicted model, not a curated record
CAGAAGAAGGAGUCUUUUUUACACUCCAUUAUUGCUGGAUUUGGGUUUCUGUCAGUGCAAGAACAAACAAACAGUAUUCAAAAGAUCUUAUUUUACUGCCAGCUAAAUUCACUGAGCGUCAAAAAAAAGAACAUCUCAAUCUGAACAGCCAAAGCUGUGGAAGGGCAUUGAAGCAAGACCACAUCACCUAUGAACUGGCAGUGAGGGAUGUAUACUGCAUACUUAAUAGUGCCUGCAGAUCAUCAGCUUGAUCACCUCCAUGGCAAGUGCUGUACAAACAUGUUAUAAAAGAAGACAGUCCCAUCCCCACAGAAGGUACCAUGAAGAGAGAAGACCCCUGCAUUGGAAUUUGACAGAGCUACAAGUGAUGUGUUAAUAGUCAAAGCAAGAUUCUGCUAAUACAGCACCUUGGAAGAGUAAGUCAGCUACAAAAUUCAAAGAUCCAGGGAUGUUGGGGUGUGUUUUGAUGGGAAGCAGGGCAGAGUCUCUUCUGCUGGCAGACCAGUGUGUCAUCUGUCAUGCUUGGUGGCAAAAGAGCUUUCUUUUCUCAACAUGAAACGCAGUCGUUGCCAGAGGUAGAAAGACCCAUGGGAAGCCAAGGUCAGAACUCAACAGAAGGGAGUAAAACCUUAGGGGAGCAACAAGGAGGAAAAGAAAGGAAUGAGGAAACAAAUAUUAAAACAAGAGAAAAAAAUAAUAAAGGAAACACACAAAUUAUAGAGAUCCUGAUCAGUAGUGAUGUUCAGAGGGCUCAUCAGGCAGUGCUGCUGCCACUUCAAUGGAACCUAACAAAGACACUGAAGCAGGUAGGUGCCUCAGUGCCUCCAUCGUUUCCAUCCCAGAGAUUCCUCAAAGUGGCUCCCAUCACAGUGACACUAUCCCUGACAGAUUUAGGUCCUUGCAGGCCUCAACAUUUCUGUCUUUGAUCAGUUAGAGCAGUGGCUUGCAGAGGUCAUUACAGCUGUAAUUGUCAGCUAUUAAUAGCCCCACUAUUCAUCACCCUUGGGGUCAUCACCACAGCGAAUACUAUAUGGGCCUUGGCCAAACUUAUCUCAGCCAAGACACCAGUGAUUUGUGGGCAGGACCUAGACCUGUUCUUACCCUGAGACACUAUUCACCUUCUGAUCUCCACUACCUUAGGUUCAUGUUGACUGCCCUGCUGGCUCAAAUGACUGCAGGUAAAGGUUGCCCUCUGCAGUUUUACAAGACCACUUCAUUCCCCUGGGACAGGGGUGAGAACCUGAUAGACCACCAUGUAAAGCUAUUGCAACUUACUUUCACUCAGAACACAGUGGCAUAUGGAUGUGGCGAGAAAUGCAGGAAAGCAUUCCUCACACCUCAGCAGCCCAUGCCAUCCCAUCUGCUCUCACACGCAGUUCAAAUGCACGAUAUUCACUUCCCAGAUGCUGCCUCCUCAUGCCACCUACUGAGAGGGCUAUGCUUGAGGAAUAGCGCAGUUAGCAAGGCUCAGGAUAGAGACAUCAAAAACUAAAAAUCCACGGGUUUUUUUUUGUUGCUGUGGAAUGCGCUUAUAUUAGACUGUGCUGAAGACAUAGUCCUGAGAGGAAAAUGUGGAGUGAUUCUCCAUAUUGGCUGUUCCACACCGCAAAGACAAUGAGAGUUCCAGACAAAAAUAAGACAAUCCUUCCAGGCAGAACAGAACGCAGCAUCUCACUGGAUUCUUCCUACUUCUUAACUCUUCUUGUGCUGCCAGGACACCACAGUGAAGGCCUCUCAGAAACUCCUAACCAGGUUGGUUAAACAGCUUGCCUAGCAUCUUGGCCAUCUGCAUAGUCUCCUCAGUCCACAAAGUCAAGAAUACAGUGAUAGCUAUUAGACUGCACAAUCUCUGUUUAAGUUUGUCCAUAGUGAGUUGAGAGCAGCUGAUUAAGUGAAAAUUCUUUAUUUCUAGAAGUUAUCACUUCAAUACACAAUCCUCUUUCCAAAGUUUAUCCUGCAUUCAUCUUCAUGACAGAAUAUUGUUCAUUAGCAUAAUAAAUCUUCUCAGUUUGUAUAGAAUAGCUUGAUAAACAAAUGCCAUCUGUCUAUUCAUUAGUAAUACAGAUUUAUUUGUAUUUGGCUGUGGAUCUCAGGUUGAUUUAAAA